GACGAACGCUGGCGGCGUGCUUAACACAUGCAAGUCGAACGCUGAAGCUCAGCUUUUGUUGGGUGGAUGAGUGGCGAACGGGUGAGUAACACGUGAGUAACCUGCCCCCUUCUUUGGGAUAACGCCCGGAAACGGGUGCUAAUACUGGAUAUUCACUGGUCUUCGCAUGGGGGUUGGUGGAAAGGGUUUUUCUGGUGGGGGAUGGGCUCGCGGCCUAUCAGCUUGUUGGUGGGGUGAUGGCCUACCAAGGCGUUGACGGGUAGCCGGCCUGAGAGGGUGACCGGUCACAUUGGGACUGAGAUACGGCCCAGACUCCUACGGGAGGCAGCAGUGGGGAAUAUUGCACAAUGGGCGCAAGCCUGAUGCAGCGACGCCGCGUGAGGGAUGGAGGCCUUCGGGUUGUGAACCUCUUUCGCUCAUGGUCAAGCCGCAACAAUGGUUGUGGUGAGGGUAGUGGGUAAAGAAGCGCCGGCUAACUACGUG
Molecule: ribosomal RNA, 483 nt
Filed under: uncultured bacterium
Lineage: Bacteria
Description: partial 16S ribosomal RNA
Rfam family: Bacterial small subunit ribosomal RNA
Source: RNAcentral